This 652-nucleotide small RNA is filed under the name Vigna angularis var. angularis. RNAcentral's name for it is "Non-protein coding transcript". Lineage: Eukaryota; Viridiplantae; Streptophyta; Magnoliopsida; Fabales; Fabaceae. The record is from RNAcentral.
CAAGACCAAACCCCUCUUGGAGCUCCAGACGAGGUGAAGUUUGCCUUAGACAUUGUGGUCCUGUAUUGUAGCUUUGCAACAGUUUGCUUCCCUACUUAUCCUGUAUUAGGUUCCUUCCUCUACAUAGUUCAUUGGUCUAUCAUGAUCCCAUUUCAAUUUAAUUGGCCAUGGAGCUUUCUCAUUCUAGUGUCUUCUAAUUCUUAGUUCUGGUGCAAGUGUCUGGUUUGAAGUCCAUCACAUCUAAACACCUGGCAUUGGCAAGUCAAGUAAUUAGUUUCGUACAUGUUAUUAUUCCUGGUUCAAACUCACUCACCUAAAUGAAGUUUUUAAUGCGUUUUCUCUGGGAUGUAUUGAGUUCUCUUAGGAGAAACCAACUAAUGAGCAAAAGAAGUUUAGCCAUGUUACUCCAUUAAUUUUAGCAUUAGCGGAUGAAGUGUCAACCCGUGGUUAUCUUUCUUUAGAAGUCAUUGAGCAGGUUGAAGGUGAGGUCCAGCGAUUAAAUGUUGUCAAAGCCAGUAAGAUGAAACAUUUGAUGUUUAAGAGGCAGAAUGAGCUUAAAGAAUUUUACAGAGGAGUUCACAUGGUUUGAAGGAAUUACAGAGUUUCCUUGAUAACUUGGAUUCAUCACGAGGCGCGUCACCCUAAGAUCCCC